This 498-nucleotide ribosomal RNA is filed under the name uncultured bacterium. RNAcentral's name for it is "partial 16S ribosomal RNA". It matches the Rfam family "Bacterial small subunit ribosomal RNA", at positions 28 to 507 of the family's 1533-position model. The record is from RNAcentral.
GACGAACGCUGGCGGCGUGCCUAAUACAUGCAAGUCGAACGAGAGCGACCGGUGCUUGCACUGGUCAAUCUAGUGGCGAACGGGUGAGUAACACGUGGGUAACCUGCCCAUCAGAGGGGGAUAACAUCCGGAAACGGAUGCUAAAACCGCAUAGGUCUUCGAGCCGCAUGGCUUGAAGAGGAAAAGAGGCGCAAGCUUCUGCUGAUGGAUGGACCCGCGGUGCUUUAGCUAGUUGGUGAGGUAACGGCUCACCAAGGCCGUGAUGCAUAGCCGACCUGAGAGGGUGAUCGGCCACAUUGGGACUGAGACGCGGCCCAAACUCCUACGGGCGGCAGCAGUAGGGAAUCUUCCGCAAUGGACGCAAGUCUGACGGAGCAACGCCGCGUGAGUGAAGAAGGUUUUCGGAUCGUAAAACUCUGUUGUUAGAGAAGAACAAGUGCUAGAGUAACUGUUAGCGCCUUGACGGUAUCUAACCAGAAAGCCACGGCUAACUACGUG